UACAGAGGGUGCAAGCGUUGUUCGGAAUUAUUGGGCGUAAAGCGCGUGUAGGCGGCUUUGCAAGUCGGGUGUGAAAGCCCUCAGCUCAACUGAGGAAGUGCGCCCGAAACUGCAGAGCUUGAGUGCCGGAGAGGGUGGCGGAAUUCCCCAAGUAGAGGUGAAAUUCGUAGAUAUGGGGAGGAACACCGGUGGCGAAGGCGGCCACCUGGACGGUAACUGACGUUGAGACGCGAAAGCGUGGGGAGCAAACAGG
RNAcentral lists this ribosomal RNA (253 nucleotides) under uncultured bacterium. Its description in RNAcentral is "partial 16S ribosomal RNA". It matches the Rfam family "Bacterial small subunit ribosomal RNA", at positions 524 to 776 of the family's 1533-position model. The record is from RNAcentral.